GCUUCGUUGGUGUAGUCGGUUAUCACGUGGGUCUCAUAUCUCCAUAUAUGACUAUUCUCUCUGAAAAAGAAUGGACAUCCCAAGGCCACCAGUUCGAUUCUGGUACGAAGCA
This is a non-coding RNA of Plenodomus tracheiphilus IPT5, 112 nucleotides long. Lineage: Eukaryota; Fungi; Ascomycota; Dothideomycetes; Pleosporales; Leptosphaeriaceae. The record is from the annotation of a GenBank genome assembly.